This 915-nucleotide ribosomal RNA is filed under the name Sporendonema purpurascens. RNAcentral describes it as "LSU rRNA". It matches the Rfam family "Eukaryotic large subunit ribosomal RNA", at positions 38 to 965 of the family's 3401-position model. The record is from RNAcentral. Lineage: Eukaryota; Fungi; Ascomycota; Eurotiomycetes; Onygenales; Gymnoascaceae.
GCAUAUCAAUAAGCGGAGGAAAAGAAACCAACAGGGAUUGCCUUUAGUAACUGCGAAGUGAAGCGGCAAAAGCUCAAAUUUGAAAUCUGGCGCCUUCGGCGUCCGAGUUGUAAUUUGGAGGGGGCAUCUUCGGAGCUGGCGCCGUCCUAAGUUCCUUGGAACAGGACGUCACAGAGGGUGAGAAUCCCGUGCCUGGGCGGCUGUCCGGCUCCAUGUGAAGUGUCUCCGACGAGUCGAGUUGUUUGGGAAUGCAGCUCAAAAUGGGUGGUAAAUGUCAUCUAAAGCUAAAUAUUGGCGAGAGACCGAUAGCGCACAAGUAGAGUGAUCGAAAGAUGAAAAGCACUUUGAAAAGAGAGUUAAAAAGUACGUGAAAUUGUUGAAAGGGAAGGGCUUGAGACCAGACUCGACCCGUGGUGAUCAGCCGUGCUUUUGUGCGGUGCACUUGCUGCGGAUCGGGCCAGCAUCGGUUCUGGCGGUGGGAUAAAGGCUCGGGGAAUGUGGCUCCCUUCGGGGAGUGUUAUAGCCUCGGGUGUCAUGCUGCCUGCCGGGACCGAGGACCGCGCUUCGGCUAGGAUGCUGGCGUAAUGGUCUUAAGCCGCCCGUCUUGAAACACGGACCAAGGAGUCUAACAUCUAUGCGAGUGUUCGGGUGGAAAACCCUUGCGCGUAAUGAAAGUGAACGGAGGUGGGAACCCCUCGGGGUGCACCAUCGACCGGUCCUGAUGUUUUCGGAAGGAUCUGAGUAGGAGCAUAGCUGUUGGGACCCGAAAGAUGGUGAACUAUGCCUGAAUAGGGUGAAGCCAGAGGAAACUCUGGUGGAGGCUCGCAGCGGUUCUGACGUGCAAAUCGAUUCGUCAAAUUUGGGUAUAAGGGGCGAAAGACUAAUCGAACCAUCUAGUAGCUGGUUCCUGCCGAA